CUGUCUGUAAUGAAAGUAGUGCCACUGCAUGUUUGCAGCUUUUAAAGACACAUAUUGAAAAUAUAUUUCUUAUAUCAAUUAUUUGUUUGGCUAUAUAUUGUGCCCCAGAUGUCUGGAGUGAUUCUAUCUGCUCUCAGAUAAUGGUUUAUGAUGAUUCUGCAUAUUUUUGUUCUUCAGGGGUUGGCGUUAUUGGGAAGCACUCUCUCCCUGCCUCCAUUUCCUGUCCUGUUUAAUCGCUUCCAGGUGAGAGGUGUUCUUCUGACCUCUUCUGGGAAUGCUUAUUAAAACUGUUUUCCUAUUGAUACCGUGGGUUUGAUAUUUACCAGAUUUGACAAAGUAAAGAUCUCAUGUUUGGCAUAAUAUUACAAGGGAAACAUAAGUGAAUUAUUUGGCCUGAAUGCUUCAGAUAUAACAUUGUUAAGGUGCAGGCUUGAAACUCAAUCCUUGGUCCCACACCACAUUUGGUUUUCAUUCUUUUUCUCGAAAAUUUAACAAUAGCACCCAGGGAUUAAGUCAUGAGGCAGGUCGCAGCCAAACCAAACAUCCUGCCUCCUACAGAAUAAUGAAGACAGAUGAAAAAAGGAAAGAGGUGUAAAGUGUACUUUUUUCUUUAUGUUUUCUCAAGGAGGCAUUUUACGCCGAGGCUGUCUUCGAACGAAACGAAGCCCAUCUAAAAAAGAAAAAACACAUAGCAAAACAAAACAAGGGAUGUUAUUCUUCUUUCAGCACAAACAGGGUUCCCGGUACAUGAGCUCUUGGGGAUUUUGCAGAAGUGAUGGGGCUUUCUCCAGAUCGCCUCUUAACCGCUAAGAUCGAGUUUCCCGCCAAGGGGGGUGUGACAUCGCUUCUCCCCCUGCAGAGCAGACCUACGACCAGAGCUCGCAACCGCAUCCAACGACACUUCGUCUCGCUGACCCGGUCACACUCUCCACACGCCCUUCUCGCUUCAUGGCCACACAAGGCCCGGUUGGCAAAGAAAAGGAUAAUAUUUCUUCAGCUGAUACCGCAAGCGGUUUUAAGAUGGAGCGAUUGUGGUAAGAGAAUGAGGUGUGGUAGGUGGAGGUGAUGAUAGGAAGGAGGGACUAACUGGGAAGAAAAGCUGCUGCGGUCACACACAUUUUCUAAGCCUUAUAAUUAAAGUGAGAUUUUCUCCGGCAUGUACAGUGGUACAAACUGAUUUGGUUUAAACAGUCAUUCUGACAGGUGAUUUUUGCCUCCACCUAUGCUGUGAAAGACAUGCAUCUUUAAAGAAGUAUUCAUCGAGAGCCAUCCGGUAACACUUGUCAUAGUCAAUGACAGGUGGAGGAAAAGAAAGUAACAAGUGUUCAGCAUAGCAUGUCUCACUUCAUAACCAAACGUACAUCAAAUGACGUCAAUUCCUCUUACUUUAGAUCACCGUAUGAACCAUCAAUGUCACUGAGAUCUCUCCCAGUCCUGCUCCGUAUGGAAUUCUCUUUGCUAGUACCUCUAACAGACAUUUAAUCGUAUCUCACGAUCAAAACUGAGAUUGGCUUUGACAAGAAUGAUGGAUCACUUCUCAAUAACUCACACCUGCAGAGGCCAUUUUCUUGUGCCACACUGAAACACAAUCGUCAAAUCCAGGAGGGACCCGCAACGUACAGCGGGAGAUACUCCUAAAUAUGUGCUCCUUCGGUCUGUAGCACAACACGUGGUUUUGAUGGGCCGAUUUGAUAUUUCCAGAGCUCCUUCAGUGAUCGUGGCUUCCCUGGCUUGAGGUGAACUUUUGCACGGGUGAUUUAUGCACCUUCUGAACUGUGCAGAGUUGGUGGAGGGCUCCUAUGUCAUCGUAGCCUGAGGCCUCAGGCACUUCCUGUUUAAGAUGACUUACAGUUCUCUGUCAGUCCUCUGGGCCCAUUUUAUUGCUGCCCAGCCCCUCGCAGGAGCAGCACCGGGUCUGUGCUGUCACUAUGACAUCAUCAGCACACAGGAAGUGUGCUCAUUCCUUACUCAUCAUAUACAAAGAUCGGCCGUACUUGAGGAGUGACAUCAUGGCAUCAAGUUCUCUGACUCUUCACACACAUAUUUCUUAUAUUAUUUUUAGAUAUUAACAACACAAAGAACUGCCAGAGGAAGCUUUUCCCACUGAAAUGCCAUUUUCUAAGGCUUUUACAUACUGUUUUCUCUGUGGUUGCCAUCCACAUCCAAAAAACAUCAGCAUUCUGUUUGUGGUUCUUGCUAAAUCAACUAAAACACAGUCAAGCCAAUGCCUCUCACUCCCUUUCCACAAACUCUUUACAUGCAAAUUUCAUUUUCAAAUAAGGCUCCUUUUUCACUUCUGAAAUAUCCAUCAAACAACAGCAUGAAACAUGAAAUAUUGAGUCUUUCUAUAAAUGUGCUGGUGGCUUCACGCUUUGAUGAAGUGACUGUAAUUGAUCGCCCUUUACACAAGACGUCCGUCAUUUGGCUGCACCAGUGGUUGGUUAGUGGAGGUGUUGGGAGCGUGGAUCUGUUAUCGUAGGGCUGAUGUAUGGAUGGCAGUCUAACACAAAGCUCUCCAUGGGAAAUCUCAGACAACGAUCGCAGCCUUGCAUCUUAGAAGAAAGUCACUCUCCCACUCACACAGACAAGUGGAUACUCAUUGAGCAACAAUCGGAGGGUCAUGGUUCUGCUGAGAAGUGCUCAUUCAGGGCUGUGGAGUCUGGAAAGCGGCGUGUGUCUGGUCUCAUGGACUGAGAGAUAGACGGAGCUCUGAUACUCCCACACGUUUUGGAGAUAGCAGGCAGAUUUCCUGUUCAUGAGAAGAAGCUUUGAUACAAGCUCUGUUGCACAAUGGCAUCAAAGGCUCAGUGAAGACCCACAAGAUAAAGAUACAGGACUUCAAAUGACUCGCCCUCUCUUUACUGUGUACAAAAACACACUCUGGAUGGAACUUCUCUGGUGACAUCAGUUUGACGGCUUGGACUUGACCAUAACAUCCUUAAACAAAUAUAAACAGUAUUAAAAGGUUCAGCGCAUUGGGUUUGAGGGCCAAAACUCAAAAAAAUUGAAUGUGGUCUUUGGAUAAGGUUUCAAAAAUAUAUCCCAUCAACUGAGCAGUGCUGGCAGCCAGAGCAGACCAAAGGGUCGAAACCUUGGAAGGAUGAGCCUCGCUGUGAAGUUUGGAGCGAAGCUGGAGAUUUCUGGCCUGAGAUGGAUCACCCCCAUGCUGAGAAGCACAGCAUAAAAAGUGACUUUUCUAACUCGAUGGACUGUUGAUAUUUUAAA
Molecule: long non-coding RNA, 3225 nt
Organism: Cyprinus carpio (common carp)
Lineage: Eukaryota; Metazoa; Chordata; Actinopteri; Cypriniformes; Cyprinidae
Source: RefSeq, a predicted model, not a curated record